Oryza sativa Japonica Group (Japanese rice) is the source of this 883-nucleotide long non-coding RNA. RefSeq lists it as uncharacterized. The record is from RefSeq and is a predicted model, not a curated record. Lineage: Eukaryota; Viridiplantae; Streptophyta; Magnoliopsida; Poales; Poaceae.
UAUGAGUCUCUCCGAGAGAGCGGAAAGGAGUCUAUUCUAACUAUAUAGUACUAGUAUCUCAUCUUUAGAUUGUUAUAUUCAAACCUGUAGCUCGGUGACAGAAUAUUUCAUCUGUUACAUGAUAUAGCAAUCUUGUAUCAUACUUCCUCCGUCCCAAAAUGAGUAGUGCAGUGGCAGUAUAAGAGGCUAGGUGAGGUGGCUGGGAGAGAGAAGAGACCGGACUGAGGAUGAGCAGCACGAGCUAGAUAGCAUAGCAAGAAGGGCCAAGGAGAAAGCGGUGGUUGAUUCGCCAUGAGCAGCGGGCGCGAGAGCAGGUGGGAGCUCCCGGCGACGCUGCGUGCGCUGGCGCGCGACGCCGGCCAGCAGCUGCGGGUACCCCGCGCGGCCGCGGCCGCGGCCACGCCGGCGGCAACGGCGGGGCGGCGCGCGGCGGACGGCGGCGGCAAGGCGGACAAGGUGAUGCACCUGCUGCUUUGGGGGCCCAAGUGAUCGAUCGAUGGGCCUCCGCCGCGCCGGCCGGCCGCCGCCGGCGGGUCAUCGUCUCAUCUCCGACCAGAUCACGGCUGUACAAUAUAUAUGUACUAGUACUAGCUGGCUGAUUGCUCGCUUGCUCCGUUCUCUUUAAUUUCUUAUGGUGUUUUUGGUCCAGUAUCCAUGCACUGAUGAUGCUUGUUUGCCGGGUCAGUCUACAGGGGUUUCCACCGUUUUUCUGUACAUACGAAUCAAGUGGUUUUCCUCGUGAAAAUCACAUGCGUUCUAAUCGGUCCUUUUUUUAUGGAGCAAAACUUAUGUAUCAUCAAUCAUGUACUACUACCUUGUAAACUUUUGCCUUGAGUUUGGGGCAAGUAAUGAUCAGAUCGUGUAAGACUGCCACUUUUAAUUU